RNAcentral lists this ribosomal RNA (555 nucleotides) under Salmonella enterica. RNAcentral describes it as "partial 23S ribosomal RNA". It matches the Rfam family "Bacterial large subunit ribosomal RNA", at positions 634 to 1190 of the family's 2925-position model. The record is from RNAcentral. Lineage: Bacteria; Pseudomonadati; Pseudomonadota; Gammaproteobacteria; Enterobacterales; Enterobacteriaceae. RNAcentral also lists the same sequence under 4 other names.
UCUGUAGCAAGGUUAACCGUAUAGGGGAGCCGUAGGGAAACCGAGUCUUAACCGGGCGUUAAGUUGCAGGGUAUAGACCCGAAACCCGGUGAUCUAGCCAUGGGCAGGUUGAAGGUUGGGUAACACUAACUGGAGGACCGAACCGACUAAUGUUGAAAAAUUAGCGGAUGACCUGUGGCUGGGGGUGAAAGGCCAAUCAAACCGGGAGAUAGCUGGUUCUCCCCGAAAGCUAUUUAGGUAGCGCCUCGUGAAUUCAUCUCCGGGGGUAGAGCACUGUUUCGGCUAGGGGGCCAUCCCGGCUUACCAACCCGAUGCAAACUGCGAAUACCGGAGAAUGUUAUCACGGGAGACACACGGCGGGUGCUAACGUCCGUCGUGAAGAGGGAAACAACCCAGACCGCCAGCUAAGGUCCCAAAGUCAUGGUUAAGUGGGAAACGAUGUGGGAAGGCCCAGACAGCCAGGAUGUUGGCUUAGAAGCAGCCAUCAUUUAAAGAAAGCGUAAUAGCUCACUGGUCGAGUCGGCCUGCGCGGAAGAUGUAACGGGGCUAAACCAU